RNAcentral lists this long non-coding RNA (1121 nucleotides) under Homo sapiens (human). Its description in RNAcentral is "HSALNT0012104". Lineage: Eukaryota; Metazoa; Chordata; Mammalia; Primates; Hominidae. The record is from RNAcentral.
AGAAUACUAUGCAGCCAUAAAAAUGAAUAAAAUCAUGUCCUCUGCAGCAACAUGGAUGGAGCUGGAGGCCAUAAGUGAAAUAACUCAGAAACAGAAAUCAAAUUAUGCAUGUUUUCACUUGUAAGUGGGAACUAAACAAUAGGAACACAUGGACAUAAAGAUGAAAAUAACACUGAGGACUCCAAAAAAGGGGAGAAUGGGAGGAGGAUGAGGGCUCAAAAAUUACCUAUUGGGUACAAUAUUCACUAUUGCUGGUUGGUUCAUUAGAAACCCAAACAUUACCACUACAUAAUAUAUCCAUGUGACAAACUAGAACAUGUACUCCCAAAUGUAAAAUUUAAAGAAAUAUGUAAUGUAUCUGUCUGUUCACUUGUUUUUAAAGCAUGUAUGGAUUUAACAGCUCUGAAUAUUAGCUUUCUGUGUUCUCAUCAGUGAGCACAGGAAGAUAGAGUCUACUAUCCCAUACCUAACGAAAGGCUAGGUGGGAAGGUGAUAUUUAGGGAGGUGAGUUUGAAGGGUGUUUGUUUUAGUUACAUUCUAGUCACUUUAACUUGUAUUCUUGGAAAAAGCUGGAAUCAUUGGCUUGUAUUAUCUUGGCCCUUCCCAUAACUGCCUUGACUGAGUUAUGUUUUAGCAUCAUGGCCUCCACUAUAACAAAACAAUUGAUAAGAAGCAGCCUUAUAAAGCUGAUUUUGCAAUUACUUCAGCAAUUUUAAAAGGACAUUAUCUACUCCCUUCAUCACUCAGCAAGACAUUUUUAAACAACUCAUAGCAAAACUUGGCUUUUCCAAAGGAGCUGAUGCAUUCUCUUUUUUCUGAUAAUGAGAAUUGUGCAACAGACUAUAUUUCCUUUUAUCAUCUCUAUUUCAUCAUUCUCUGGUCUUGACUGUUAAAACUGUGAUAAUGUCUCUGAGAUAAUGUAAAUUCAGAUGGAAUUCAACUGGCAAUUGGCUCCCAUUCUUUUCCUGGGUGCAAUUCUCAAAUGAAGACCAGCUAAAGGUAUUAUCUUCUGCAUGGUGAAGAGUCAGGAAGUGACUACUUUGUGAUAAUUUGGGGCUUUCUCAACUCAGUGUAUGCUACAUAUUUUGUAAUAAUUGGUCUAUUUCUUACAUAGCUCAUAA